GUCGUCGGCCGCCCUGACGCCGCCAAUCCCAAAGGCUCCUCCGCCCUCGCCGCCACCCUCCACGCCGCCGCCAUCCUCCUCCGCAUCGACUCAAAUUGGGACUGGUUCAUCAAUCUUGACUCUGCCGACUACCCCCUUGUCACACAAGACGAUCUGCUACAUGUGUUCUCUUACCUCCCGAAGGACCUCAAUUUUGUGGAGCAUUCCGGGCGAAUUGGUUGGAGAGAGUCUCGUCGGAUGAG
This 242-nucleotide unclassified non-coding RNA is filed under the name Hevea brasiliensis (rubber tree). The record is from RNAcentral. Lineage: Eukaryota; Viridiplantae; Streptophyta; Magnoliopsida; Malpighiales; Euphorbiaceae.